This 253-nucleotide ribosomal RNA is filed under the name uncultured bacterium. Its description in RNAcentral is "partial 16S ribosomal RNA". It matches the Rfam family "Bacterial small subunit ribosomal RNA", at positions 524 to 776 of the family's 1533-position model. The record is from RNAcentral.
UACGGAGGGCGCGAGCGUUGUUCGGAAUCACUGGGCGUAAAGCGCGUGUAGGCGGCCGAGCAAGUCGGAUGUGAAAUCCCGAGGCUCAACCUCGGAACUGCAUUCGAAACUGCUCGGCUCGAGUCCCGGAGAGGAUGGCGGAAUUCCCGGUGUAGGGGUGAAAUCCGUAGAUAUCGGGAGGAACACCAGUGGCGAAGGCGGCCAUCUGGACGGUGACUGACGCUGAGGCGCGAAAGCGUGGGGAGCAAACAGG